This 229-nucleotide ribosomal RNA is filed under the name uncultured bacterium. Its description in RNAcentral is "partial 16S ribosomal RNA". It matches the Rfam family "Bacterial small subunit ribosomal RNA", at positions 568 to 796 of the family's 1533-position model. The record is from RNAcentral.
UGCGUAGGCGGUCUAAUAAGUCAGUGGUGAAAUCUCUCGGCUCAACCGGGAAACUGCCAUUGAUACUGUUAGUCUUGAGUUCGGUUGAGGUAGGCGGAAUGUGUAAUGUAGCGGUGAAAUGCUUAGAUAUUACACAGAACACCAAUUGCGUAGGCAGCUUACUAGACCGACACUGACGCUGAGGCACGAAAGCGUGGGUAGCGAACAGGAUUAGAUACCCUGGUAGUCC